This is a non-coding RNA of Trichonephila clavipes, 86 nucleotides long. The record is from the annotation of a GenBank genome assembly. NCBI's taxonomy places the organism in Eukaryota, Metazoa, Arthropoda, Arachnida, Araneae, Nephilidae.
GUCAGGAUGGCCGAUCGGUCUAAGGCGCUGCGUUUAGAUCACAUUCUACUUCUGUGUGGGCGUGGUUUCGAAUCCCAUUUCUGACA